AUUUUCGAAAUUAUUUGGUAAAAUAAUUAUUAGUGGAUUAAUUUUGAAACAUGUUUUGUAAAAUGGGUCUGGCAUGUUUAAAUUUCAUUUGAAUAUUUUGUUAUAUGCUCUGAAAUCCGUAAAAUAUGAUUAGACAAUUUAUGAAAUUUAUAUUUGUAUAUAUGUAUUCUCAGCAUGGCUAUGAUCUGUUCUGUUCUGUUCUGGCCCCGCCAAUGGGGAUUAUACGUUGGCCCUGUCGACUUGUAAUCUGUGAGGAACCGGUUUCGACACCGUACCAUCGGUGAUUAGAAUAGUGGUAUUUGGAUACCGUACCACCGGUGUUUAAUAAUAGUGGUGUUUGGCACCUUGUGCAACCCAUGCCACUGGGUUACGUGGCCGUAGCCUAUCAUGUUGAGAUUCUGGUAUCAGAGUUUUUGAAAAAAUGAUAAUAAGUUUUGAAAAUAGUAAAACAAUGUUAUUUAUGAUUUAUUUUAUUAUCCUGUAUUUGAUCUGAUAUGCUCUGACCCCACUUUGGGGUAUUUUGUUGCUUAUUGGGCUAGUGUAGCUCAUUAUUUUAUUUUCUUUAUUUUUCAGAUCCAGAGGCUUGAUCGCACGGGAUUGGGGAGUGCGUUAGAUUUUCGGAUGAUUCUUCAGUUAUUGGCAUUUUAGUUAGUUUAGUUUGGACAUUUGAAUUAUGUUGGCAUAUGUUAUUUUGAAAUUUUGUAAGUUCGCUUUUGAACAAUUUAAAUAAUUAUGUCAUUUUUGAAUAGCUGUAUCUGCUUUGAUUUGAUCCUGCUGCCUUGCACGCCUGUGCGGCCCGCCGUGUGGGCGUGCGGCGUCUGCCGCGCCUCGGGCUCGGGG
RNAcentral lists this long non-coding RNA (840 nucleotides) under Phoenix dactylifera (date palm). RNAcentral describes it as "long non-coding RNA (PDAC_LNC017398)". The record is from RNAcentral. Lineage: Eukaryota; Viridiplantae; Streptophyta; Magnoliopsida; Arecales; Arecaceae.